ACUGAACGCUGGCGGCAGGCAUAACACAUGCAAGUCGAGCGGGGUGAUGGUGCUUGCACUAUCACUUAGCGGCGGACGGGUGAGUAAUGCUUAGGAAUCUGCCUAUUAGUGGGGGACAACAUCUCGAAAGGGAUGCUAAUACCGCAUACGUCCUACGGGAGAAAGCAGGGGAUCACUUGUGACCUUGCGCUAAUAGAUGAGCCUAAGUCGGAUUAGCUAGUUGGUGGGGUAAAGGCCUACCAAGGCGACGAUCUGUAGCGGGUCUGAGAGGAUGAUCCGCCACACUGGGACUGAGACACGGCCCAGACUCCUACGGGAGGCAGCAGUGGGGAAUAUUGGACAAUGGGGGGAACCCUGAUCCAGCCAUGCCGCGUGUGUGAAGAAGGCCUUAUGGUUGUAAAGCACUUUAAGCGAGGAGGAGGCUCUUUUGGUUAAUACCCAAGAUGAGUGGACGUUACUCGCAGAAUAAGCACCGGCUAACUCUGUGCCAGCAGCCGCAGUAA
RNAcentral lists this ribosomal RNA (503 nucleotides) under uncultured bacterium. RNAcentral describes it as "partial 16S ribosomal RNA". It matches the Rfam family "Bacterial small subunit ribosomal RNA", at positions 30 to 523 of the family's 1533-position model. The record is from RNAcentral.